GAUGAACGCUGGCGGCGUGCCUAAUACAUGCAAGUCGAGCGAACGGACGAGAAGCUUGCUUCUCUGAUGUUAGCGGCGGACGGGUGAGUAACACGUGGAUAACCUACCUAUAAGACUGGGAUAACUUCGGGAAACCGUAGCUAAGACCGGAUAAUAUUUUGAACCGCAUUGUGCAAAAGUGAAAGACGGUCUUGCUGUCACUUAUAGAUUGAUCCGCGCUGCAUUAGCUAGUUGGUAAGGUAACGGCUUAGCAACGCAAGGAUGCAUAGACGCCCUGAGAGGGAGAUCGGACACCCUGGCACAGAGACACGGCACAGACUCCUACGGGAGGAAGCAGUCGGGACUCUUCCGCGAUGGGCGAAAGCCUGACGGUGCACCGCGGGGUGAGUGAUGAAGCACUUAGGAUCGUAAAACUCUGUUAUUCGGGAAGAACAUAUGCGUAAGUAACUGUGAACAUCUUGACGGUACCUAAUCAGAAAGCCACGGCUAACUACGUG
Molecule: ribosomal RNA, 497 nt
Filed under: uncultured bacterium
Lineage: Bacteria
Description: partial 16S ribosomal RNA
Rfam family: Bacterial small subunit ribosomal RNA
Source: RNAcentral